CAGCGCCCCAAGUGGGGGUCACGUUUAUUGGGCCUAAAGCGUUCGUAGCCGGUCGAGUAAAUCCUUUGUGAAAUCGUCGUGCUCAACACGACGGCGUGCAGGGGACACUGCUUGACUUGGGACCGGGAGGAGUCAGAGGUAUGUCGUGGGGACUGGUAAAAUGGGAUAAUCCACGAUGGACCACCGAUGGCGAAGGCAUCUGACCAGAACGGAUCCGACGGUGAGGAACGAAAGCCAGGGGAGCGAACCGGAUUAGAUACCCGUGUAGUCC
This 271-nucleotide ribosomal RNA is filed under the name uncultured archaeon. Its description in RNAcentral is "partial 16S ribosomal RNA". It matches the Rfam family "Archaeal small subunit ribosomal RNA", at positions 477 to 747 of the family's 1478-position model. The record is from RNAcentral.